Molecule: ribosomal RNA, 256 nt
Filed under: uncultured bacterium
Lineage: Bacteria
Description: partial 16S ribosomal RNA
Rfam family: Bacterial small subunit ribosomal RNA
Source: RNAcentral
UACGUAGGGCCGCAAGCGUUAUACCGGAAUUGAUUGGGCGUAAAGAGCUCGUAGGCGGUUUGUCGCGUCUGCCGUGAAAGUCCGGGGCUCAACUCCGGAUCUGCGGUGGGUACGGGCAGACUAGAGUGAUGUAGGGGAGACUGGAAUUCCUGGUGUAGCGGUGAAAUGCGCAGAUAUCAGGAGGAACACCGAUGGCGAAGGCAGGUCUCUGGGCCGUAACUGACGCUGAGGAGCGAAAGCAUGGGGAGCGAACAGG